This 69-nucleotide transfer RNA is filed under the name Sphaerodactylus townsendi. RNAcentral's name for it is "tRNA-Ala". Lineage: Eukaryota; Metazoa; Chordata; Lepidosauria; Squamata; Sphaerodactylidae. The record is from RNAcentral.
GUCAUGGCUCAGUGAUUCAGUAUCUGCUUAGCAUACAGAAAGUCCCAAGUUCAAUCCCUGGCAUCUCCA